Molecule: long non-coding RNA, 858 nt
Organism: Nematostella vectensis (starlet sea anemone)
Lineage: Eukaryota; Metazoa; Cnidaria; Anthozoa; Actiniaria; Edwardsiidae
Exons: 3
Source: RefSeq, a predicted model, not a curated record
UGAUCCUUUAAAAAAAAGCGUCACAUGAUCAGCGAAUAGCAGUAAGAUAUCUACAUUCGAACAUUCGAUCUAAAUUCGAGGUUGGAACUGUACGAUUAUUCAAUCUAGGAUUGUGGGUUUCCUGUGGUGCAAAAGGCUCGGUCACAUUGUUGUAAACAUGGCGGAUAGCAGCAGUGAAGAAAUAGAAUCAACUAAUGGAAGCCGUUUUUAUGGCUACGCGCUUUACACAUAAAAUGCCAACAGGUGAAUGAGAGAAUAGGAACCCGGACCUUCGUUGAACUGGCCUUUUUCUUGAGACAUCGGUGAUGGUUUAUUUCUUAUAUCCGGUUUAUGUUUUGUCAGAGUGGUUAUCGAAAACUUGUCCCUGGAUUUUACGAUAUGCCUCGGGGAAUAUACCCUGGGUACCAGAGGCUCCGAGCUUCGCGGGCGACAACGUUUUAAUCGCUCGUGGAAUAGAGUUUCCCUCAAGCAAAGCCUUCGCACGGUACGUCGGCACGUCGUCUAUGGUGGCUUGUGUGGAUUACAUGGAGGAGCCAUCUUUGUCGGAUGCAGUUCAAGAGGUUCAGGAUACCUGUUUCCUGUAUUAGACACUUCUCAGAACAACAGUCACGGUGACCAUGGCGGGUGGCUUGACUGCUCUUCUUGGAAUUUUUUGUAUGUUUUUAUCGCUGUCGGAUGGAGCUCUUCCGGAAUAUCUUCCAAGAUCGUCCAAUCAUGUUCCGAGAGACACUCUCAUAAUGGAAUACUUCUAUUUGGGUUUCAGCUACACUGAAAUUUUGUUUUUUCUUACAUCUGUUCAUGGAAUUCGACUUUGCUUAAGACAGCUGAAAAGAGUACUCAGGCAAAACGGGCUUAAAA